RNAcentral lists this ribosomal RNA (459 nucleotides) under uncultured bacterium. RNAcentral describes it as "partial 16S ribosomal RNA". It matches the Rfam family "Bacterial small subunit ribosomal RNA", at positions 338 to 795 of the family's 1533-position model. The record is from RNAcentral.
CCUACGGGUGGCAGCAGUGAGGAAUAUUUGUCAAUGGUCGGGAGACUGAACCAGCCAAGCCGCGUGAGGGAUGAAGGUACAGAGUAUCGUAAACCUCUUUUGUCAGGGAACAAAGGCGGGGACGUGUCCCCGGAUGAGUGUACCUGAAGAAAUAGCAUCGGCUAACUCCGUGCCAGCAGCCGCGGUAAUACGGAGGAUGCGAGCGUUAUCCGGAUUUAUUGGGUUUAAAGGGUGCGCAGGCGGUCUGUUAAGUCAGCGGUAAAAGCCCGGGGCUAAACCCCGGCCCGACGUUGAAACUGGCAGUCUCGAGUUGGAGAGAAGUAUGCGGAAUGCGCGGUGUAGCGGUGAAAUGCAUAGAUAUCGCGCAGAACUCCGAUUGCGAAGGCAGCAUGCCGGCUCCACACUGACGCUGAGGCACGAAAGCGUGGGUAUCGAACAGGAUUAGAUACCCGGGUAGUC